AGUGCUGAAAGAGUGAGCCAGGACAGCCUUUCGACAUUGAACAAGGCAAUUCCCAAUCUCUUGAGCUCUGGCUGUGUUCACUGAAUGGAUCUAGUCUCUGAAAAUUCACCGACAUUUUUGGCUGGGCGCUGUGGCUCAUGCCUGUAAUCCCAGCACUUUGGGAGGUUGAGACGGGAAGAUUACGAGGUCAAGAGAUCAAGACUAUCCUGGGCAACAUGAUGAAACGCUGUCUCUACUAAAAACACAAAAAAUUAGCUGGGUGUGGUGGUGCGAGCCUGUAGUCCCAGCUACUCAGGAGGCUGAAGCAGGAGAAUUGCUUGAACCCAGGAGGCGGCGGUUGCAGUGAGCCAAGGUGGCGCCACCGCUCUCCAGCCUGGCAACAGAGCGUGACUCCGUCUCAAAAAAAGAAAAAUAAAAAAUUUCAGGGAUAUUUAUGUAGUGACCUGUUAUUUAAUUUUUCAAUAAUAUAAAUCUGUUUCAAGAAAAAGAAAUUUUAAACAAACUCUUAUGAUUUUCUUUCUCCUGAAUAUUAUUCCAGAACUUAAAAAAAAGAAGAAACAAAACAGAGUAAGUACAUUAGCUUUAUUCAACAUACCAUCUUGUCUAGUAGUAAACUACUAAAAACAGUCUCCUGAGUGGAAAAAAUAUAAAUUUUUGUCUAUUUAACAAGUAAUAGCAUCAGUGCUGCCCUGCGUGUUCUCAUUAUUUUCUCCAAAUAAAUUGGCUCAAUAUGCUGCUAAGUAUUACCAUUUAUAUUUAUUUUGUAGUUCUAUAUCUUGUCUUUCCUGUUUCAUCUGUAAACAGGCAAUUAUUGCCUCAGUGUGUAUUCUGAUACAUUUUCUCUCUAAAUCUAUUGUCCAACAUCUUGCAUAUAAAAUCUGGCUUUUCUCUCAUAUAUCAAAAUCGCAGGUCACAUAGUCUCAGUGCCAAGAGUUACAAGAACAACUGCUUUAUUUCACUCCCAUCUCUGUGAAUACAAAACUCCAAUCUCUAAAGUAUAAAGUAUUUUGUAUCUAUUUAUAACACUAUGUUCCUGGCUUAUUGAUAUAUUAUUUCAUUAUUAGCUCUUAAAAACCUAACAAGGUGCUGAAUAAUUUUGUGAAAUAUUCCAUGGAGAACUACCAUUAAAAUAGUGAUUAUUUUAA
Molecule: long non-coding RNA, 1145 nt
Filed under: Pan troglodytes (chimpanzee)
Lineage: Eukaryota; Metazoa; Chordata; Mammalia; Primates; Hominidae
Description: lincRNA
Source: RNAcentral